CAGUAGCCGCGGGAAUACAGAGGGUGCAAGCGUUAAUCGGAAUUACUGGGCGUAAAGCGCGCGUAGGUGGUUUGUUAAGUUGAAUGUGAAAUCCCCGGGCUCAACCUGGGAACUGCAUCCAAAACUGGCAAGCUAGAGUAGGGCAGAGGGUGGUGGAAUUUUCUGUGUAGCGGUGAAAUGCGUAGAUAUAGGAAGGAACACCAGUGGCGAAGGCGACCACCUGGGCUCAUACUGACACUGAGGUGCGAAAGCGUGGGGAGCAAACAGGAUUAGAUACCCCAGUAGUCCCUGUCUCUUAUAC
This 301-nucleotide ribosomal RNA is filed under the name uncultured bacterium. RNAcentral's name for it is "partial 16S ribosomal RNA". It matches the Rfam family "Bacterial small subunit ribosomal RNA", at positions 509 to 807 of the family's 1533-position model. The record is from RNAcentral.